GGAGUAAUACCGCAUAAAACAGGGGUCCCGCAUGGGAAUAUUGUUAAAGCUUCGGCGGUUGUGGAUGGGCAUGCGGACGAUUAGCUAGUUGGCGGGGUAACGGCCCACCAAGGCAACGAUCGUUAGGGGAACUGAGAGGUUGGUCCCCCACACUGGCACUGAGAUACGGGCCAGACUCCUACGGGAGGCAGCAGUAGGGAAUAUUGGUCAAUGGGCGGAAGCCUGAACCAGCCAUGCCGCGUGCAGGAAGAAGGCCCUCUGGGUUGUAAACUGCUUUUGACAGGGAACAAGAAGUCCAUGCGUGGAUUAGUGAGUGUACCUGUAGAAUAAGCCACGGCUAACUACGUG
This 348-nucleotide ribosomal RNA is filed under the name uncultured bacterium. Its description in RNAcentral is "bacterial SSU rRNA". It matches the Rfam family "Bacterial small subunit ribosomal RNA", at positions 160 to 507 of the family's 1533-position model. The record is from RNAcentral.